Heterocephalus glaber (naked mole-rat) is the source of this 3873-nucleotide non-coding RNA. Lineage: Eukaryota; Metazoa; Chordata; Mammalia; Rodentia; Bathyergidae. The record is from RefSeq and is a predicted model, not a curated record.
UUACGGGAAGGAAGGGAGACUGUGCGCAUGCGUGGGCCCUCCCUGCGCGAACUCCGGUUACCUUGGAGACGGCAAGGCGCUCUCCCUCCCCGGCCUCGGGCUGCUUCCUCUCCUCGGCGGAGGCGAGGGUAGGGGGUUAGGAAUGCUGUUCCCGACCACCACAGACCCCCUGAGGGCGAGGGAGAGGGUCACAGUGGUCCCUCGAAAAGCGUCGGGGCCCCGGGGUCCACGCGGAGCGGACCGUACAUGCGGCCGGCCGAGCGCGGACGAGACCCGGGAUUUGGACAGAGGCCGCUGUCGCAGUGCUCCGACCUGGUGGGGACAGGAGGGGAGGGAAGGCGGAGAGCCUUUCCGGCCUUUGCUGAGAUAGGUGUGUUCCUACCCUGGCUCCCCGAUUCCAUCAGGGUCCCCGCAGGCGGGCAUGGGUGAAUCUCCAGAGAGAGGGUCUGCCCAGGACCACUUGGCAGGACCCCCCACUCCAGGCCUCUCUCUGGAGACAGGGUCUUGCUAUGUAGUCCAGGUUGGCCUUGAACUCACUGUUGUAGCCCUGGCUGGUCUUGAACUUGGGAUCCUCCUGCUUCACCCUCCCAGGUGCUGGCAUGACAGACAAGGCAUGGCUUCUAUAGAGCCUGUGCUUCCGAGCCGGGCAGACUCUGGGGGUCGUGCUGGUUGCCAGUGGCCUGCUGGGAGGUGGAGCCAAGAGACAGGUAGAGCUGGGCCCCCAGAGCUGGUUCACCACAGGGUUUUGCACUGCAGUGACUCAGGCAGAGUCAGAGUUGAGCCAGCUGUGCAGCCUUCCUUCCUGAGGACCCCUGUGUCUCCAGCUUCCCUGGACAUUCCUCUGGUCCCUACUCUCUCGAGUGGCCCAGCUGCCCCAUCGGGACCAUCCACCUCUACACCUGUGCACUACUAGCACUGAUGUGCAGUGACAAAGGGAACUCUGUCGACCCAGCCCCAGCGCUGCAGCUCUGGAGAAGGAAUUUCAGAUAAAGGAAGUUAUAUUCUGGCUCUUACUGCCUCAGUCAGCUGGCCCAUGAUAUGCAGCCGUGUCCAGUGAGAAAGUGACCAGUAAAUCAUCUAAGUGCCUCAAGGUCCUGGGGCCUACAUUCCUGUGAGACCCUGUGUUGGGAAGAGCACGGGGUUGCCUCCCCACCCCGGUGUCCUCUCCACAUCAUCCUCAACUCUGCUGGAGGAUUUAGUCCGCCUGAGAGAUUGUUCAGGUCAUGCUGUCCCAGCACCUCUUGCCCUCCAGCAUGUCCCUCCUUUAGUUUUUGUCGUCUUCGUCACUCUUGUUCCUCCUGCCGUGGCCGCCCUGGAUCACAGGUGUGUGCCCCACGUCCAACUCUGUCUGUUCCUCUGUUAGGUUCUUCCUUUUGGCUCUGGGGAGGGAGCACAGAGCCUGCAGCCCAGAGCGAGCUUCCAGUCUGGCAGGCGGGUUGAGCUGGAGUGGACUGCAAACAGGACUGCGUCAUCCCGAGGGCGGCCAGGGCGGUGCAAGGCGGGAUGGAGUGUGCUGGGCCAGGCCGGAGCCAGCCAGGGCAGCAGACCCGCUCAGAGCUUUCAGACAGAACCAGCUGCCGGGAGCAGGUGCCCAGUUUCAGCCGUGAGCCUCCUGCUUCUCCACACUCUCAGCUCGGAGUUCUGAUACACUCUUGGCUUCGCAGAGUCACUCAACAAACGUCUAUUGAGCACCUACUGUGUGCCAGGCGUUGCGUAGGCCCUGGUGACACAGGUGAGCAAGUCUGAGGCCAGCCCUCCACGGGGGGACAGACAAGGAUUCAAGGCAGCUUGGCGGGCAGAGGGACCCCUGGGAGAGGUGAGAACACAUAGAAGAGGUCCUGGGGCCUUCCCGGAGGAGGUGACAUGUGAAUGCAUGGCUGCCAGGUACACAGCAGUAAGCUGCUGUAGGAGGUGGAAAGCAUUCUGGCAGAAAGAAUCACACGUCCAAAGGCAUGGACACGGGGCAGUCAUGGUUUGGGAGCCAGGCGUGGUGGCACACAGCUAUAAACCCAGCUAUUUGGGAGGCUGAGGUAGGAGAAUCAAAUUUGAGGAUAAACUGGGCAAGUUAGCAAGACUGUGUCCCAAAAUUAAAAAAAAAAUUUGGAAAGGGCUGGGGAUGUAGCUCAUGGUAGGGUGCUGGCAGUAUAACAAUACUAGUACUAACCCUAGGGGACCUGGGCCUGAGGUGCAAGGACUUGCAUCCUGAGCUCCACACCAGGAUUUCCCCGGCCCACAGUGCGCGUCCCUUCCUCUCCGCCAGCCCCCCGUGCUUCCUGCGUGCUCUGCAUGAAGGACCUCAUGCCAGUGUCCAUCCCUCUUCUUGCAGUGUCCAGAGUCAUGCUGCCUCCAUCCUCACAUUCCCGGUGGCGGGCUCCCCUGGGUCCCCCCUUCCUGCUGAUGUCUCAUGAGCACUCGCUCUUCCCCUUGCUUCCUCUUGUUUCCCCGAGUCCUUUGUACACUGCCUGUCCUUGCUCAGAACUCCAUGGAGCCCUAGAGAUGCCCAGAGGUGGAGUCCAGGCCCGGGCUCUGUGCGAAGGCCUCCCAGUCCAGCCCAGCUCAGCUCUGCUCCGUAUGAUUCCUCGAAGAGUCCCUGGGGCGCUGUUGUGGUGCUUACCCUGCCCUACCCAGUGGGUGCUGGGCACGCAGAUGUACUCUUUGGCUUUGACCUAUCAGUUCACACCCUUCUCCCCCGCGCUAGGGCAGGGUAUCGAACUAAGCUACAUCCUCAGCUUUUAAAAAUUUUUUUUUGGUACCUGGGAUCGAACUCAGGACCUUCCUUGUAAGGCCGUUGGUGGUACCACUGAGCUAAAUCCCUGGGCCUCUUUUCUUAUUUUUAAUUUUUGAGACAGGGUCUUGCUAAGCCACUGAGUUGCCCAGGCUGGGCUUGAAUUUGUGAUCCUCCUGCUUCAGCCUCCCAGAGUGCUGGGAUGACAGGUGUGCACCACCAUGCCCGGCAAAUCGCACCUAUCCUAGUCCCUGAUGAAAUGCCUUCUCUCCAGGGGUCAUGUUUCCCAGCUGUUUAGCCCCCCCCCCCAUACAGAGGCACACACCUGGACAGAGCUCAUCAUCACCAGAGGGCUCCAGAGCAAUCCAUUUGAAAACUUUCCCUCAGAUCAAGAACUUGCUAUGGCUCCUUGUGUCAGCCACUUCAGAAACCUGUUCCUAGUAGGUUCCCAGCUGCACUCCUAGGUGUCGAGCUCCCCUACUGUAGCCCAGAAUGCGGCCCGUGUUCACCUUCCACCGUAUGCUGGAAGUGAGCCAACUCCCAGGGGAGGGAAGCUCUGUGACUGGGAGCAGUGCAGUGCGUGCUGGGAAGAGCCUCCUGCUCACAGGACCUCCACCUCUCCUUUAGGGUCAGAAGUGACUUUCUUCUCAGUAGUGACUUGGUUUGGAAUGUGCCCCUGGCUCCCUGGCAGCUUGGGCAGCAGAGGGCACGUUUGGCCGGUGAGCUAGAUGGACCAGGAUGCCUGUGGCUCUGUCCCCUGGGCGGCCACCCCAGCUGCCAUGCGCCCGCCCCUUGCUCUGUGACCUGUGCCCUUCCUCUGCCUGCGUGUGGACCAGCGUGUGGACCAGUGGCUGAGCCUGAGAGGGAGCACCUGGUGGAGGGACCCGCCCCUGCCGUCUUGACAGAGGACACAGCCACACUCUGCCAGCCCUGCCACUGCCGGCGGCCACUCCCUCACAGCCCAGCCUGGUCCUUGGCAGCCUCACCCCUUCUCAAGCCUUGUCUUAGCCAGCAGCCACCUCCCCUUCCAGCCCCCCAACCCCCAUGAUCCUUUAAAGGACCCCAGAGCCCCGAGGAGAGCAUCCCGUUUGGUCUCAGCGCCACAGCAGCCCACUCAGGUUUGUUCUGAAAUAAACCUGUCCUGUCGA